This 367-nucleotide unclassified non-coding RNA is filed under the name fungal sp. Its description in RNAcentral is "partial internal transcribed spacer region". The stretch from base 1 to 46 matches the Rfam family "Eukaryotic small subunit ribosomal RNA", at positions 1786 to 1831 of the family's 1831-position model. The record is from RNAcentral. Lineage: Eukaryota; Fungi.
AAGUCAUAACAAGGUUUCCGUAGGUGAACCUGCGGAAGGAUCAUUAUCCUUUAGCUUGUGCGAAUGUUCUAAUACAUUUGUACUCGAGCUCAUAACGCUCUUAUUGCGCGGCAGCCGCUCUCCGGCGACUGCUAAACAACAAAUCCACGGUAGGCUCGUUGCUACUGUGGUCAGGUACCUAUUUGCUGAAGCGGCUCUUCGGAGCCGUGUUGGCGUAAAGAUUACUCCACCUAGUGGCGUAACGCCUGUUUAGCUUACAAGUUUUCUCACCAUUUAAAUUACAUUUUAGAGUUGUGAUGUGUAAAUUCUAUGCUCAACAUAGAUGAUUUAACACAAAAACAACCCUAUGCGGUGGAUCACUUGGCUC